Non-coding RNA from Arachis ipaensis, 156 nucleotides. The record is from RefSeq and is a predicted model, not a curated record. Lineage: Eukaryota; Viridiplantae; Streptophyta; Magnoliopsida; Fabales; Fabaceae.
CUAUUUUGCUGUUGCUAGGAGGAAUGAUGGCAUAGUCGGUGCAGAGUUAGCUAACAUAGUUGAGGUUGCUGCCAUCAACAUGAUGCGGGAUUCAAGGACUGAGAUUACUACUGAUGACUUGUUACAAGCUGCACAAAUGGAAGAAAGAGGAAUGCU